RNAcentral lists this ribosomal RNA (323 nucleotides) under Cercomonas sp. RNAcentral describes it as "SSU rRNA". The stretch from base 103 to 323 matches the Rfam family "Eukaryotic small subunit ribosomal RNA", at positions 733 to 955 of the family's 1831-position model. Lineage: Eukaryota; Cercozoa; Cercomonadida; Cercomonadidae. The record is from RNAcentral.
GAUUUCUGGUACGGCGCACUUGGCCCGUCGCGGUUACGCGUAUGUGUGCCGGUGUGCGCCUGCCAUCCAUCUGGAAAACGCCGUCGCCCUUCACUGCGGUGGCCGGUGCUAUCCAGAUCUUUUACUUUGAAAAAAUUAGAGUGUUUAAAGCAGGCUUGUGCUAUGAAUACAUUAGCAUGGAAUAAUAAUUUAGGACUUUGGUCUUAUUUUGUUGGUUUCUAGGACUAAAGUAAUGAUUGAUAGGGACAGUUGGGGGUGCUAGUAUUCAGCGGCCAGAGGUGAAAUUCUUGGAUUCGCUGAAGACUAACUUAUGCGAAAGCAUU